UGGGUGCAAGAUACAUUAGUGGUUGAUUCGUUUGAACCACUAGUCACCUAGUCUCCCUAAAGUAUACAUGCUCUCUGAUGACUGUAACUUGGUGGAGUUUUAAAUUAUAGACAGAUACGGGGCAGACACAA
This 131-nucleotide small nucleolar RNA is filed under the name Athalia rosae (coleseed sawfly). RNAcentral describes it as "misc RNA ENSAEAG00005004508.1". It matches the Rfam family "Small Cajal body specific RNA 8". Rfam says of the family: scaRNAs are a specific class of small nuclear RNAs which localise to the Cajal bodies and guide the modification of RNA polymerase II transcribed spliceosomal RNAs U1, U2, U4, U5 and U12. U92 belong to the H/ACA box class of guide RNAs as it has the predicted hairpin-hinge-hairpin-tail structure, conserved H/ACA-box motifs and is found associated with GAR1. Lineage: Eukaryota; Metazoa; Arthropoda; Insecta; Hymenoptera; Athaliidae. The record is from RNAcentral.